AUUUUUUUACUCAAUGAAUUUAUUACAUUUAUAGUUGUACAAUGAUCAUAACAAUCCAAUUUUAUAGGAUUUCCAUCCCACAAUCCAAGCACAUCCCCCCAGCCCCCAAACUGUCUCCUUUGGAGACCAUAAGUUUUUCAAAGUCUGUGAGUCUUCGCAGUAUCUGUUCUGCAAAGAAGUUCGGUCUGUCCUUUUUUCAGAUUCCACAUGUCAGUGAAAGCAUUUGAUCUUGGUGUCUCAUUGUAUGGCUGACUUCACUUAGCAUAAUUUCUAGGUCCAUCCAUGUUGCUAAAAAUGCCAGUAUUUCGUUGCUUUUAAUGGCUGAGUAAUAUUCCAUUGUGUAUACGUACCAUAUCUUCUUUAGCCAUGUGGUUUAACGGUGAAUAGAAGAGGUUAAGUGUUUCCUUUCCAGUUUGGAACUUGAAUCAAGGACCAAGCACCUACACACAGUGAAUUAAUCUAGUCUAGGGACACUCAGUCACAUAAGAGAUAUUUGGAGCAGGAAAGAGCUCUGAAAGACAAGGUAGACAGAGAGACAAUGGUACAUUUCCAAAACAACAAAGCCUAUGCAUCUAAGUACCACAGAAGGGAGUAAGGAGGAGACAAAAUAAAGAGGAUAUAAAGUAAGGGAUCAAAGGUCUAAUCAUUUGCUCACUCGCUCCUAUCCCAGUGACCACCUCUGCCUUCCCAGGGUUCGUGUUGUUCCAAACUCCAUCAAAACCACAUCCAACUAUUGUGGAGAAAAAGAUCACACACUUAGAAUUUUAAAAUAGGUCCAUACUCUUUGAUAAGAACUGCACCGUAAGAAGGAAGGAAAAGAGUACUCACUAGAUCAUAACUAGGUGACCACCAUGCCCCUGUUUUUUUUAACAUAUCAAAAUGACAGGCUUACCUUUUCAACAUAAUUUCAACCUUAGACCUCUCUGAGAACUGCUUUGGGAUCAGCAUGGAAAAUGGGUCUCAUGACACUCGGGUAGUGCAAAGAACUCAUGACCGUAAGAGAAUCAAAGAACUGAUAAAUACUGUUAGUUACCAAAGCUCACAAAGGCUAUUUGAAAGAAGGCACAAUGCUUGUGUGGUAAAACACCACGAAUCUAUCAUUUCUGGAGACUUGAUUCCUUUAUUUAACUAUUGGCAAGAAGUUAAAUUGCUCUCUUAUUAGGAAGGAUUGAUUUUUUUUUUUAUCGAAUGUCAUCUACCUGAGGAUAGGUUAGGGUGGCUCUGGACAGCACCUCUGAGUCCAAGGGAAGAGGGAAGAUAAUCUGUGGAAUCUUUCUCUCACCAAGAUUCUGAAGAUGCCAUGAAAGCCUUCAAACCCCAGAAGGAGGAGGAAUGAGAAGAAUGAACAGAGGGUGGCUUGGCAACCUCAAAGGUGGGACUAUCUGCAACUGACAUUCCAGUCAAUUUGCAUGAUUGCCUUCUUGUUGUCAUUAAUUUUGGUAUCUUGUGACCACAGGUCUUCCAAAAAGAUACAUUUCCCAAGUCUCCUGUGGGAAACAUGAGCCAGAGGAAGUGGGUCACCACAAAGUAACUGUGAUCCUGGGGAUUGGGAAUUCUGCCCCCAGGGUUAUGUGAGAGUAUUCAAAUGCCAGCCAGAUUUUCCUGCUGUUCUUCAGCAACAAGCAGACCACUACAAAACAGUAACCCAGAACUCUGCCAGCAAACUGCUGGUGACUUAUGUUAAGACAGGACCAAGGAAAGAAACAUCUCCGUGCUGCCGCCACAGGCCUUCCAGCCCCCUUGCUGGCAGGUUAGAACAGUGAUGCCUGUUCCAGGGGAAUGGCAUCACUGCUGCCUUUGGUAGCCAUUAAAAUUCAGCUCUACUCUCAGUGGACACAUUCUGUGUGAACAAGGCAAUGCUCCUGGAUCUCUAUAACACUCAGCAAUGCAGUAGGGAGGGAUUUUUCAAAGAUGAAUCUAAUAUUACUGUAAUAUGACAGACUUCAUUCUGACCUUGAGCAAAAUAUUGAUAUGAGCCAAAUCUCCCUUGUAGAAUGCAUGCAGAAAAAUCUUUUUGAGAUUAAUCAGAAAACCUGUGCAGAGGAGCUUGCCCUAAAAUUUAUCUGCACUGGUUAUAAGAAGAAAUUCAUGAUUACAUUGUUAUCAUGAAAAAAUAUUUAAGUGUAAUUAAAUGAGGCCGCUUAAGAAAAGGAGCUCUUCUUUCCAAGUGUAGCACCCAAUAUUUAUGCAAAUUUCAAAUGAUUCAUUUUAGUCAUGAAAGCUAGUUCACAUUGCCCUUUACUAGAGACAACCCUUGUUUAAUUAAUUCUUGCUUAAAAGUAAUAAAACUAAUUUCUUUUCAUAGCAUGUGAGUCACACAUUUCACUUCUAGAGACCAACUAUACACAACUCAUACAAAAUAAAGAGGUAGCACCACCUGAAUCAAAUGUUGUAACUCGCUACAUGGUUUUUGCAUUUAGACUAAUUGAAAAUAAUCUUUGCUUGACCACAAGCCCACACUUUCCCCUAUUCUAAAAACACAAAGCUGAUGCCUGCUGAGUAAGAACAGAGUGUACAAAGACGUGCUCCUUACCCCAAGCCAAAUCUAACCCAGGUCAAGUGUAUACAUACCAUGACCAAGAGAUCAUACAACAGAUUCUCACAUUUAAACUUGGUUCUAAAUAGUAAUAAUUUCAAAAUGUUAUUAGUGUAGAAAAUAUUAAUUCCCAUUUCAUAGGCUUGACUUUAACAUAUCAUUAUUGGAAUUAGUUAAGAUUAGUGUCAUUAUAUAGAUCAUAUUUACUGUGUUAGUCUCAAAUCGAUCAUAUAAAAUAGGUAGUCCCAUUUUGCAGAGUAGGCAAUUGAAGCUGAAGAAAUUAAAAUAAAGCCUAAGUAAAAGUCAGAACUGGAAUUCAUAUGGAAGCUGCCUGAUUUUCAGGCUUAUAACCUUAAUUAUUGUAUGAUUUCUGCUUUCCCUAAGCCUAUGGUAGAAAAAUAAUAUAAUUCAUAAAUUCUUAUAUUUGAAAGAGCUCUUCAGUGAGGCAUUUAAUCUAAUCCUCCCCCUCUGCCCCCACCAUGCAGAAAUUUCUUUCUCAGUGUCAUUAAAAGAAAGAACAACUAGGCUGUAUUGGGUAUUUACAAAACUGAAGCUUCUUAUUUUGGAAGAUAGUUCAUUUCAUUGCUGGACCAUUAAAAUGGUUAAACAAAUCUUCCUGAAUCCAAGAUUACAUUUUAAAGAUUUUUUAAUGAAUGUUUUCUCCUUUAAAAUUCACUAUCAAACAAGAAUAAGAAACAUAAAUAGAAACUCUAACAUCAAUGAAACCAUAAGAAUUGAAUCCAUAAAGUCCAAACCAUAGUGAAUGAGGACUAGAACACGAGACUUAACAGUAAAUGAUCCAACAGAAAAAGUGUGCUUGACAGAAAUGGGACUCUGUGUCCACAGGAAAGGUAGUGAGAAAGUGAAAAGCAAGAUAAUUUGGCUGGUAAAUUCUCAAAAGACUAAAGAAUUUAAAGUUAAUAUUCAGCAAGUGGUAAUACUAUCAGAAGUAGUAGUAAGGCAGGGGCCUAUAGUAGGAUUAUUUCACGGCUAGUUUUUUUUUUUUUUUUGGUUGGGUUUUAUAUUUGGUUUUUUACUUAGGAGAACAAUCAAACCCUAGAGUCCCCAACUCCACAAAGUCCAGUAACCUUUCUCCACCUUUUCAAGAUACCCGAGAAUUGUUUCCUGGAGAAACUUAACCAAAAAUGUUCCAGACUCAGGAAUAUGAGGCCCAGAGGAGGAGAAGGUGAGAAACAAAUUAUAAAAUAGGAAGGAGGUUAAAAACAUGAGUCUCCAGAUUUAAAAAGCUGUUAAGCACCCAACACAAUAAAUGAAAAAAAGCCUACAUCAAGUUUUAUUGGGAAACUUCAGAAAAGUAAAGAUAAAGAGAAGAUUCUGAAAGGUUCCAAAGAGGAAAAAAAGAAAUUGGUCAUACAAAGGACUAGGAAUAAAAUUUUAAG
Molecule: long non-coding RNA, 3936 nt
Filed under: Sus scrofa (pig)
Lineage: Eukaryota; Metazoa; Chordata; Mammalia; Artiodactyla; Suidae
Description: lncRNA (ENSSSCG00000052800.1, ENSSSCG00105035397.1)
Source: RNAcentral